UACGGAGGGAGCAAGCGUUAUCCGGAAUCACUGGGUUUAAAGGGUGCGUAGGUGGCUUGAUAAGACAGGGGUGAAAGCCCGCAGCUUAACUGCGGAACUGCCUUUGAUACUGUCGAGCUUGAAAGAGGUUCAGGUCAGCGGAACGUGACAUGUAGCGGUCAAAUGCAUAGAUAUGUCCCAGAACACCGAUUGCGACGGCAGCUGGCUGGACCUACUUUGACGCUGUCUAACGAAUGCGUAGAGAGCGAACCAG
This 253-nucleotide ribosomal RNA is filed under the name uncultured bacterium. RNAcentral's name for it is "partial 16S ribosomal RNA". It matches the Rfam family "Bacterial small subunit ribosomal RNA", at positions 524 to 776 of the family's 1533-position model. The record is from RNAcentral.